AUUUUCCAUUGGUGAAGCCCGGUAGGAGUCUGAUUGCUAGAGAAGUCCAUUUGGGAUUCGCCUGAUGUGGAAGCUCGUCUGAAGAUGAUCCAUCGAAGAAGUUCGAUUUCAUGAAGGAUCUGGCAGAGGGUCGACCGACGAUGGACUUCGGAUGGCAUUGGGGAGGUUCGGCAGACGUCGGAGGUGAUCGAUUGUUGUAAGAAUCCAGCUGUCGGAGUCCGUCCGUUGU
Molecule: long non-coding RNA, 229 nt
Filed under: Elaeis guineensis (African oil palm)
Lineage: Eukaryota; Viridiplantae; Streptophyta; Magnoliopsida; Arecales; Arecaceae
Description: long non-coding RNA (EGUI_LNC068737)
Source: RNAcentral